GAAUAUGAAAGGGACACACGAGAAUCUUUCCCAACUUCUUUAUAAAUAAUCAUGAUUACAACUUCUUCAUAAGUGAGAGACUACAAGUCUCGACGAGCAAACAACAUUUUCAAAAAAAGAAAUCUGAAGUUUAUAUAUAUAGUUGCAAAGUUUUCAUAUAUCAUCAUCAUGGGUAUGAAGAUAUCGACGGCCAUGUUAUUGCCGCAGUCACCGGCAGCAUCAGACUUCCCUCUGGCGACCUCUGUUGUAAACCCCCACACAGUUCACUUUAAUAGGCAAGCAAACGACUCUCCGUCGAUCUAGCCACGCGUUUUCCGGGGGAUUCUGGUCAGUUCACUGGAACAGGCAAGCAAACGAGAUACGACUCUCCGUCGAUUUAGCCACUGGAACAGGCAAGCAAACCAGAUCACAGUGGCUGACCUAAUAGGAUGAGAGAAGGCGCGCUGUCAAUAGCUGUCACUCAGCUGCAAACUUCAUUGUCCACUGCAACAAGCUGGUAGAGCAAUUGCAGAAUGCUCUUGACAAGCUACCUAUAACAGAUACACAGAAGAAACCAUUGAUUAUAGCCUCAAGUUCAACAGCAGUAAAAGCUUAGCACAUGAAAGUAAGAUGAUACUUAAGCAGUAAGUACAACGCCAAGAGCUGGACCAUUAAGAUAUACGUGAUUUCAGACAAUUUAGCAGAAAGCACAACUACAUCCAAAGAAGAAUGCCAAGAAGUGACAGCAGAAAAGCUGUACAUGAUCUCCUAAAAGAGGUUAAAGAGAAAAACAAGCGCAGAGACAACAAAGCUCUUUCAAAUUGUACACUGGUCUGUAACCACACAAGUCAUGACAGUUUGAGAAAAUCUGUGGGGCUGGAAAUAAAAGUAAGAUCUUUUUUUUUUCAUUUGACCUCUAGUCUAUCUUACUCUACACCACUUAACCAAUGGGAUGACGUUUGCAAAUUAACUAGGUUAUCAAAAAGACUGGGAAGAAAAACUCCUUACAGAGCAGAGCAAUCUGCAAGGAAUAUACAGAUUUCGGGACAAUGGGACGAAGAAAGAAAUUACAUGCUCGGGACGAAGAAACACACAAAAUAGAAAGAUAAGUACAUAUCCUGAUGCUGAAUAUAUUAAGAUCUUAAAUGAUAAAUUGCCAUGAUGGGUUGUAAUGUAUUAAUUUGGGGCUUGGAGUGUUCACUUUUUUCCUAAACCUAUCACCAAAGUUUCACUACAAUAUGUACGCAUACAAGAAUUGUCUCAAAUCCCAACAGAGAAAAAUAAGGAAAAGAAGUUCUCACAGCUUGGCUUGGACAAUUGUUCAUCGAGAUUUGAACCAAAAAAAAGCUGGUCAAAGGAAAAAUACAAUUAAAUUUGCAUCAACUAAAUUAAAUUCUGUAACGAGAUUAUACCAAAGCGACUACAACUAAAAUCUAAUGGCAAGGCACAAAGCUGAAAGAAUUGGAGAAAACAUCAUCAGAGUUAGAAAACUAAGCCAGACCAACUUACUAACCAUGUCACCAUAAAAUUUGAGUAGAGUCCCAAAGAGAUGUAAAUUCCCUGAGGAACAAACGAGACUGCACAACAAGUGACUUUUAUCAAUGCAUUGAUGGUCCUUCAAAUACAAAAUGACUUAGCAAUGUUCAGCUAUUUGGUCAUCGAGUUUUUAUACUAAAGGAAAAAGGUUUCACGAUAUGAGAACUUAAUUCCCAGAAUUUGAUCCCUUAAUAUUGGAACUCCCAAAACGAACAGCACAUCCAAGUCAAAACCCAUUUAGCUUCAAAUUAAAGUAUUGAGACUAAAUUAGUAAAGUUAGACCAAGCCAAAAUGGAUAAUUCUAUUAAAUACAUACAAAUCUAAUCAAUCAUCCAGUGACAAAACAUAAUAAUAAUAUAGAUGAAAAGCAAGAGAAAAAGACAAUUAGCAAAAGUAUCUUCUUUCCAAGAAUGUAAACUUCCACGAAACAAUAAAACAGUCACUAUCCCUUGUUCUCUAAGCUUGACCCAAAACAUUUCAAGUCAUUUCAUAAUAUAUAACAAUAAAACUGAAGAAUCCAAAACCAAAGAACGUCAUAAAUAGCACAGAACAAGCUUUAGCC
Non-coding RNA from Camelina sativa (false flax), 2077 nucleotides. Lineage: Eukaryota; Viridiplantae; Streptophyta; Magnoliopsida; Brassicales; Brassicaceae. The record is from RefSeq and is a predicted model, not a curated record.